Molecule: long non-coding RNA, 257 nt
Organism: Empidonax traillii (willow flycatcher)
Lineage: Eukaryota; Metazoa; Chordata; Aves; Passeriformes; Tyrannidae
Exons: 2
Source: RefSeq, a predicted model, not a curated record
GAGCUGGAACAGAACCCUCAGGUAUCGUCCAGUGCGACAGAUCUGAUGGAGCGCUUUAAGGGAUGGAUGCUGCUCUUCGCAGAGUUCCUCAUGAGACUGUGUCAGACCUCCCUGCAAUCAUCUCUCCAAUUUGUGGCUGUUCCCGUGAGUUUCUGCUCCAUUUUCUCACUCCCGGAGACUCUACAGGGACAUCAGGGCUCAGCAGGGGCUCCUCUUUCCUUACCCUGUGAUAAACUUCUCCAGGAGUGCUCUGUCAA